Molecule: ribosomal RNA, 460 nt
Filed under: uncultured bacterium
Lineage: Bacteria
Description: partial 16S ribosomal RNA
Rfam family: Bacterial small subunit ribosomal RNA
Source: RNAcentral
CCUACGGGAGACUGCAGUGAGGAAUAUUGGUCAAUGGCCGGAAGGCUGAACCAGCCAUGCCGCGUGAAGGUCAGUGCCCUAUGGGCGUUAAACUUCUUUUGUGCGGGAGCAAUAAUGGUCACGUGUGGCCAGACGAGAGUACCGUACGAAUAAGCAUCGGCUGACUCCGUGCCAGCAGCCGCGGUAAUACGGGGGAUGCAAGCGUUAUCCGGAUUUAUUGGGUUUAAAGGGUGCGUAGGCUGUGAGGGAAGUCAGCGGUGAAAUGCCCCCGCUCAACGGGGUGAAGUGCCAUUGAUACUGCCUGGCUGGAAUGCGGAUGCGGUGGGAGGAAUGUGUGGUGUAGCGGUGAAAUGCAUAGAUAUCACACAGAACACCGAUUGCGAAGGCAUCUCACGAAUCCGCGAUUGACGCUGAUGCACGAAAGCGUGGGUAUCAAACAGGAUUAGAUACCCGAGUAGUC